Molecule: ribosomal RNA, 257 nt
Filed under: uncultured bacterium
Lineage: Bacteria
Description: partial 16S ribosomal RNA
Rfam family: Bacterial small subunit ribosomal RNA
Source: RNAcentral
CGGCACGGGUGAGUAACGCGUAUGCAACUUACCUAUCAGAGGAGGAUAACCCGGCGAAAGUCGGACUAAUACCGCAUGAAGCAGGGGCCCCGCAUGGGGAUAUUUGCUAAAGAUUCAUCGCUGAUAGAUAGGCAUGCGUUCCAUUAGGCAGUUGGCGGGGUAACGGCCCACCAAACCGACGAUGGAUAGGGGUUCUGAGAGGAAGGUCCCCCACAUUGGUACUGAGACACGGACCAAACUCCUACGGGAGGCAGCAG